GACGAACGCUGGCGGCGUGCUUAACACAUGCAAGUCGAACGGUAAGGCCCUUCGGGGUACACGAGUGGCGAACGGGUGAGUAACACGUGGGUGAUCUGCCCUGCACUUCGGGAUAAGCCUGGGAAACUGGGUCUAAUACCGGAUAGGACUCCUGGCUUCAUGGGUGGUGGUGGAAAGCUUUUGCGGUGUGGGAUGGGCCCGCGGCCUUUCAGCUUGUUGGUGGGGUGAUGGCCUACCAAGGCGACGACGGGUAGCCGGCCUGAGAGGGUGACCGGCAACACUGGGACUGAGCUACGGCCCAGACUCCUACGGGAGGCAGCAGUGGGGAAUAUUGCACAAUGGGCGCAAGCCUGAUGCAGCGACGCCGCGUGAGGGAUGACGGCCUUCGGGUUGUAAACCUCUUACAGCACCGACGAAGCGCAAGUGACGGUAGGUGCAGAAGAAGGACCGGCCAACUACGUGCCAGCAGCCGCGGUAA
Molecule: ribosomal RNA, 478 nt
Filed under: uncultured bacterium
Lineage: Bacteria
Description: partial 16S ribosomal RNA
Rfam family: Bacterial small subunit ribosomal RNA
Source: RNAcentral